RNAcentral lists this ribosomal RNA (254 nucleotides) under uncultured bacterium. RNAcentral describes it as "partial 16S ribosomal RNA". It matches the Rfam family "Bacterial small subunit ribosomal RNA", at positions 524 to 775 of the family's 1533-position model. The record is from RNAcentral.
CACGUAGGGCGCAAGCGUUGUCCGGAAUUAUUGGGCGUAAAGAGCUCGUAGGCGGUCUGUUACGUCUGCUGUGAAAACCCGGGGACGUUAACCCUGGGCUUGCAGUGGAUACGGGCAGGCUAGAGGCAGGUAGGGGAGAAUGGAAUUCCCGGUGUAGCGGUGAAAUGCGCAGAUAUCGGGAGGAACACCGGUGGCGAAGGCGGUUCUCUGGGCCUGACCUGACGCUGAGGAGCGAAAGCGUGGGGAGCGAACGG